GGUCAAGUGAAUAAGUGCAUACGACGGAUGCCUUGGCAUUAGAAGGCGAUGAAGGACGUGAUAAUCUGCGAUAAGCUUCGGUUAGCUGAUAAUAAGCAUUAUUAGCCGGAGAUCUCCGAAUGGGAAAACCCAGUGGUCAUCAGACCAUUAUCCUUAACUGAAUACAUAGGUUAAGGAGGCAAACCUAGGGAACUGAAACAUCUAAGUACCUAGAGGAAAAGAAAUCAACCGAGAUUCCCUUAGUAGCGGCGAGCGAACGGGGAUCAGCCCUUAAGCAUAUUUUAAAUUACUAGAAUGUUCUGGAAAGUUCAACGAUACAGGGUGAUAGUCCCGUAUAGGAAAAUUUAAUUUAUGUGAAAUCGAGUAAGGCGGCGCACGUGAAACGCUGUUUGAAUAUGGGGGGACCACCCUCCAAGGCUAAAUACUCUCUAAUGACCGAUAGUGAACAAGUACCGUGAGGGAAAGGCGAAAAGAACCCCGGGAGGGGAGUGAAAUAGAACCUGAAAUCGUAUGCAUACAAGCAGUAGGAGCGGAUUUAUUCCGUGACUGCGUACCUUUUGUAUAAUGGGUCAGCGACUUACUUCUCAGUAGCAAGGUUAACCAUUAGGGGAGCCGUAGGGAAACCGAGUCUUAAAUGGGCGUUUAGUUGCUGGGAGUAGACCCGAAACCGGGUGAUCUAUCCAUGGCCAGGGUGAAGGUUAGGUAAAACUAACUGGAGGCCCGAACCCACUUAUGUUGAAAAAUGAGGGGAUGAGCUGUGGAUAGGGGUGAAAGGCCAAACAAACCCGGAGAUAGCUGGUUCUCUCCGAAAUCUAUUUAGGUAGAGCGUCAUGUAUUACUUCAGGGGGUAGAGCACUGUUAUGGCUAGCGGGUCGUCAAGACUUAGUAAACCAUUGCAAACUCCGAAUACCUGAAAGUAUGAGCAUGGCAGACACACUGCGGGUGCUAACGUCCGUAGUGGAAAGGGAAACAACCCAGACCGUCAGCUAAGGUCCCAAAAUUGUAGUUAAGUGGGAAACGAUGUGAAAAGGCCCAGACAGCCAGGAGGUUGGCUUAGAAGCAGCCAUUCCUUUAAAGAGUGCGUAAUAGCUCACUGGUCGAGUCGGUUUGCGCGGAAGAUUUAACGGGGCUAAAACUACAUACCGAAGCUACGGAUCGCAAUUUAUUGCGAUGGUAGGAGAGCGUUCUGUAAGCCGUUGAAGGUGAACUGUGAGGUUUGCUGGAGGUAUCAGAAGUGCGAAUGCUGACAUGAGUAACGAUAAAGGGGGUGAAAACCCCCCUCGCCAGAAGUCCAAGGUUUCCUACGCAACGUUAAUCGGCGUAGGGUUAGUCGGCCCCUAAGGCGAGGCAGAAAUGCGUAGUCGAUGGGAAACAGGUUAAUAUUCCUGUACUUCAUAUAACUGCGAUGGGAAGACGGAGAAGGUUAGCGCAGCUUGGCGAUGGUUGUCCAAGUUCAAGCGUGUAGAAAUGAGUUUUAGGAAAAUCCGGAACUCUCUAUUUCAAGGCGUGAUAACGAUCCCUCUUUUGGGAGAAGUGCGUGAUACCAUGCUUCCAGGAAAAUCCUCUAAGCUUCAGGUUAUAUGAAACCGUACCCCAAACCGACACAGGUGGACGAGAUGAGAAUUCUAAGGCGCUUGAGAGAACUCGGGUGAAGGAACUAGGCAAAAUGACACCGUAACUUCGGGAGAAGGUGUGCUCUUGCCGGUGAUUUUACUUGCUAAAUGAGCUGGUAAGAGUUGAAGAUACCAGGUGGCUCCGACUGUUUAUUAAAAACACAGCACUCUGCAAACACGUAAGUGGACGUAUAGGGUGUGACGCCUGCCCGGUGCUUGAAGGUUAAUUGAUGAGGUUAGGAUUCGUCCGAAGCUUUUGAUCGAAGCCCAAGUAAACGGCGGCCGUAACUAUAACGGUCCUAAGGUAGCGAAAUUCCUUGUCGGGUAAGUUCCGACCUGCACGAAUGGCGUAACGAGGGCCACACUGUCUCCACCCGAGACUCAGUGAAAUUGAAAUUGCUGUUAAGAUGCAGUAUACCCGCGGCCAGACGGAAAGACCCCGUGCACCUUUACUACAGCUUUGCAUUGAACUCUGAUCCUACUUGUGUAGGAUAGGUGGGAGGCUUUGAAGCUUGGACGCUAGUUCGAGUGGAGCCAUCCUUGAAAUACCACCCUGGUAUGGUUGGGGUUCUAACCUAGGUCCGUUAUCCGGAUUGGGGACAAUGCAUGGUGGGUAGUUUGACUGGGGCGGUCUCCUCCCAAAGAGUAACGGAGGAGCGCAAAGGUACCCUCAGCACGGUCGGACAUCGUGCAAUGAGCGCAAAGGUAAAAGGGUGCUUGACUGCGAGACUGACACGUCGAGCAGGUAGGAAACUAGGUCUUAGUGAUCCGGUGGUUCUGAGUGGAAGGACCAUCGCUCAACGGAUAAAAGGUACGCCGGGGAUAACAGGCUGAUACCGCCCAAGAGUUCACAUCGACGGCGGUGUUUGGCACCUCGAUGUCGGCUCAUCACAUCCUGGGGCUGAAGCAGGUCCCAAGGGUAUGGCUGUUCGCCAUUUAAAGUGGUACGCGAGCUGGGUUUAGAACGUCGUGAGACAGUUCGGUCCCUAUCUACCGUGGGCGUUGGAGACUUGAGGGAAGCUGUUCUUAGUACGAGAGGACCGGAAUGGACACACCUCUGGUGUUUCGGUUGUGACGCCAGUCGCAUUGCCGAGUAGCUAUGUGUGGAAAGGAUAACCGCUGAAAGCAUCUAAGCGGGAAGCCCCUCCCAAGAUUAGGUCUCCCUGAUAGUUUAACUAUCCUAAAGAUCCCUUGAAGACUACGAGGUUGAUAGGCAGGGUGUGGAAGCACAGUGAUGUGUGAAGCUAACCUGUACUAAUUGAUCGUGAGGCUUGACCAUAUAACACCCAAAUUAUUUGA
This 2912-nucleotide ribosomal RNA is filed under the name Bathymodiolus brooksi thiotrophic gill symbiont. RNAcentral's name for it is "Large Subunit Ribosomal RNA; lsuRNA; LSU rRNA". It matches the Rfam family "Bacterial large subunit ribosomal RNA". The record is from RNAcentral. Lineage: Bacteria; Pseudomonadati; Pseudomonadota; Gammaproteobacteria.